Molecule: long non-coding RNA, 673 nt
Organism: Ixodes scapularis (black-legged tick)
Lineage: Eukaryota; Metazoa; Arthropoda; Arachnida; Ixodida; Ixodidae
Exons: 6
Source: RefSeq, a predicted model, not a curated record
UUUUCGGCCCGCCAGUACCGCCGCCGCCGCUGUCUCUGCUGUUCCUGCUGUUAUCCUGCUACCGCGCUCGCUUUUUUCUUUUCGCGAGUGUUAUAUUCACUUUUAAAACUUAAAGAUCAAAAGCGAGCAGACACGAAUGAGCCCCUCUCAAGUCUGUGCAAGCAAGCAAGUGCGAGUCUCGAUUUAGGACCAGUGAUUGACAGCCUCCGGCUCGCCACUAAUCUCCAUUUCAUCGAGCCCAGCUACAAGGAAAUCGGAAGGAAAGGCCAGUGAGCAGGCAUUAACGGAGUCAAUGGACCAUAAAAAUGUCCCUGGUCCAUGCGGUGUAGCAAGGGCUGCCCACCACACCAGGGAGUAGCACCUUAGACCAUGCCACUCAGCUACAGAAAUGACCUUGCCAUGCCAGGGACGAACACCUUACACUACACUACUCAGCAACAGGGCCAUACGGUGCAGAGAGGACCUGCCCACACCGGGGAUUGUCACCUUACAGUAUGCCACAUAAUUACAGGGCCAUGAAAAGACAGCUGCAAGAUAACACAGGGCAAGAUGGUUUCCCAAUGCGUAAAGAUUGAACACCAACCUCCGAGAUGAAUCAGAAGAGUAGGGCCACUAGAAGCACCUGUAUGGAUAGGACACGAGUGUAGUAAUAAAACCAUAUUGCCAAUAUAAA